UACUCCUACGGGAGGCAGCAGUGAGGAAUAUUGCGCAAUGGGGGCAACCCUGACGCAGUGACGCCGCGUGAGUGAUGAAGGCUUUCGAGUCGUAAAGCUCUGUUAGGUGGAAAGAAACAUUCCGGCGCUAAUAUCGCCGGGACUUGACGGUACCACCAGAGGAAGCACCGGCUAACUCCGUGCCAGCAGCCGCGGUAAUACGGAGGGUGCAAGCGUUGUUCGGAUUUACUGGGCGUAAAGGGCGUGUAGGCGGUUGGCUAAGUCAGAUGUGAAAUCCCUUGGCUUAACUAAGGAACGGCAUUUGAAACUAGCUAACUAGAGUACAGGAGAGGAAAGUGGAAUUCCCAGUGUAGAGGUGAAAUUCAUAGAUAUUGGGAGGAACACCGGUAGCGAAGGCGGCUUUCUGGCCUGAUACUGACGCUGAGACGCGAAAGCGUGGGUAGCAAACAGGAUUAGAUACCCUGGUAGUCA
Molecule: ribosomal RNA, 471 nt
Filed under: uncultured Desulfobulbus sp.
Lineage: Bacteria; Pseudomonadati; Thermodesulfobacteriota; Desulfobulbia; Desulfobulbales; Desulfobulbaceae
Description: bacterial SSU rRNA
Rfam family: Bacterial small subunit ribosomal RNA
Source: RNAcentral